Molecule: ribosomal RNA, 499 nt
Filed under: uncultured bacterium
Lineage: Bacteria
Description: bacterial SSU rRNA
Rfam family: Bacterial small subunit ribosomal RNA
Source: RNAcentral
GAUGAACGCUAGCUACAGGCUUAACACAUGCAAGUCGAGGGAAACGAUAUUGGAAGCUUGCUUCUGAUAGGCGUCGACCGGCGCACGGGUGAGUAACGCGUAUCCAACCUGCCCAUCACUUGGGGACAACCUUGCGAAAGUAAGACUAAUACCCAAUGACGUCUCUAGAAGACAUCUGAAAGAGAUUAAAGAUUUAUCGGUGAUGGAUGGGGAUGCGUCUGAUUAGCUUGUUGGCGGGGUAACGGCCCACCAAGGCGACGAUCAGUAGGGGUUCUGAGAGGAAGGUCCCCCCACAUUGGAACUGAGACACGGUCCAAACUCCUACGGGAGGCAGCAGUGAGGAAUAUUGGUCCAAUGGACGAGAGUCUGAACCAGCCAAGUAGCGUGCAGGAUGACGGCCCUAUGGGUUGUAAACUGCUUUAUAAGGGAAUAAAGUGGGAGUCGUGACUCUUUUUGCAUGUACCUUAUGAAUAAGGACCGGCUAAUUCCGUGCCAGCAG